Molecule: transfer RNA, 75 nt
Filed under: Candidatus Falkowbacteria bacterium CG10_big_fil_rev_8_21_14_0_10_39_11
Lineage: Bacteria; Candidatus Falkowiibacteriota
Description: tRNA-Thr
Rfam family: tRNA
About the family: Transfer RNA (tRNA) molecules are approximately 80 nucleotides in length.
Source: RNAcentral
GCCAGCGUAGCUCAGUGGUAGAGCAGUGGUUUUGUAAACCAUUGGUCGUGGGUUCGACUCCCUCCGCUGGCUCCA